CAGUAGCCACGGUAAUACGUAGGUGGCAAGCGUUGUCCGGAAUUAUUGGGCGUAAAGGGCUCGCAGGCGGUUUCUUAAGUCUGAUGUGAAAGCCCCCGGCUCAACCGGGGAGGGUCAUUGGAAACUGGGAAACUUGAGUGCAGAAGAGGAGAGUGGAAUUCCACGUGUAGCGGUGAAAUGCGUAGAGAUGUGGAGGAACACCAGUGGCGAAGGCGACUCUCUGGUCUGUAACUGACGCUGAGGAGCGAAAGCGUGGGGAGCGAACAGGAUUAGAUACCCGAGUAGUCCCUGUCUCUUAUAC
RNAcentral lists this ribosomal RNA (301 nucleotides) under uncultured bacterium. RNAcentral's name for it is "partial 16S ribosomal RNA". It matches the Rfam family "Bacterial small subunit ribosomal RNA", at positions 509 to 807 of the family's 1533-position model. The record is from RNAcentral.